RNAcentral lists this ribosomal RNA (429 nucleotides) under uncultured bacterium. Its description in RNAcentral is "bacterial SSU rRNA". It matches the Rfam family "Bacterial small subunit ribosomal RNA", at positions 355 to 776 of the family's 1533-position model. The record is from RNAcentral.
UGGGGAAUAUUGGACAAUGGGGGCAACCCUGAUCCAGCAAUGCCGCGUGUGUGAAGAAGGCCUGAGGGUUGUAAAGCACUUUCAGUGGGGAGGAGAGUUGACGAGUUAAUAGCUUGUUAACUGGACGUUACCCACAGAAGAAGCACCGGCUAACUCCGUGCCAGCAGCCGCGGUAAUACGGAGGGUGCAAGCGUUAAUCGGAAUUACUGGGCGUAAAGAGUGCGUAGGUGGUUGUUUAAGUUAUCUGUGAAAUCCCUGGGCUCAACCUGGGCAGGUCAGAUAAGACUGAAUGACUCGAGUAUAGGAGAGGGUAGUGGAAUUUCCGGUGUAGCGGUGAAAUGCGUAGAGAUCGGAAGGAACACCAGUGGCGAAGGCGGCUACCUGGCCAAAUACUGACACUGAGGCACGAAAGCGUGGGGAGCAAACAGG